GUGCAUGUUUCUGCAGCACAUAUACUAAAAUUAGAACUAUAAGAAGUAGAUUAGCAUGGUCCCUGGACAAGGAUGACAUGAAAAUUUUUUAAGCAUUCUAUAUGACA
This is a small nuclear RNA of Gracilinanus agilis (Agile Gracile Mouse Opossum), 107 nucleotides long. The record is from RefSeq and is a predicted model, not a curated record. NCBI's taxonomy places the organism in Eukaryota, Metazoa, Chordata, Mammalia, Didelphimorphia, Didelphidae.